Molecule: ribosomal RNA, 3480 nt
Filed under: Triticum aestivum (bread wheat)
Lineage: Eukaryota; Viridiplantae; Streptophyta; Magnoliopsida; Poales; Poaceae
Description: partial small subunit ribosomal RNA
Source: RNAcentral
GGGAGUGCCAACAGUAAGAGGGCAUAGGGAUUGGAGUGCUUUGGGUGGUAGCCUGAGUAGCGGACGGUACCUAACGCGGCGGUGGGACGAGGGAUGACGGCAGCAGCGAGGCAAAGGGUAGGCGGCGGUGGCAGGUGGCGUAGGUCGGAGACAGCGUAGGGUAGCAGAGGUGGCGGUGGUGCUUGGUAGAGAGAGGAACCAGCAGAGAGAACCUGGUCGUGCGCCGCCGCCUAAGAAGGCUACCGCACACCGCUGCGCAGGCCAGCUCCCUUGCCCCCACUCCGUCUGACGCAAGGCAAGUAGCUAGACAGGGGUGGAGUACAAGGAGGAGAGGUAACUUAAAGUGCAGGGGUCAAUGACGCUGUGUCCUGCGAGAGGUGAGAAACUGUUGUUACCACGGGCAGGACAACACGGAGAGGUGUGAAUGGUAGCUCCGCGUUUUUAUAAACCUCUUCUAGCGCGAGGGACAUCUUUUAAGCCGCACACAAGAUUCACCGAUGGGUCGUUCUAUUAAAAGACGAGACUUCAAGAGAGUACCUUGAACCCACCCUAACCGCUUGCACGAUCCACCUCAUGCACGGUGACCUACCGGUACAAUCACCCGUCUUAGAGGAGAGGAAGUCUGUGUUUGAACCUAAACCGUUCCUUGACCUGGGCACGGCCUACAAGUAGUCGUUGCGAUCAGUCCCCAAGUCCGAGGACACCUUGAGUACCGUAGUCAGUAUACUUGGAAGUACAUAAACUAUCAAAAGAGCUAGUGAAAAUACGGGAGUUGAUGUCGAUUCCGAUGGGGUGUUCAAGUAACUCUAAACAAAAAAUAUCCUGAACCUAAUUAUUAGAGGUUGUUAUACCAGUAACGAAGAAUAUAUAUGAAAGUCAAGAUUUAUGUAAAGUCUAAAAGAAAUAGGACAUGAUGAUUUGAUACACACGAUUUGGUUUGUACCGUAGACGCAGAAAAAUACGUACGUACAAAGUUCUGUUAUAUAGAUUAUACAUCAUAUGUCUUUCCAUGGAUUUAUAAUCGAAUAUAACGGUUGAGAACUUUUAUAUGCCAGGGACAUGUAAAAAACGGCUCUUGGACCCCUCGAACCCUGCUUCAUACCACAGUUAUUAGUCAUAUAUGGUCUUGUUAUAAAGUUGUGGCUACAGUGAACGGUGUCAUGAAGGAAGUGACGGUUAGAUCGGCGUUUGAGACAAACAGGAGCUUAGAUCGAGGUGUUUCCAACACGAAACGGUACGUAGAUUUUCAUUCCAAUGAUAGUAUUAAUUAAUCAUCUCGAAGAAGAGAUAAGUUUAACUUAAACUAUUCGUUGUUUCAGGAUACACAGUACGAAGUUAAUAUACCGAGCUCGGCCGGUUUGGACUUUACAAGCCACUUCUAAGUUUCAUGUAGAUCUAAUGAAACACAACGGGUGUUAGGAUAAUGAACUAAAAAAACUCGAUUGAUAUAGAUACCUAUUUAAACGUUCUACUACGUUUUUUUAACGAACGUCCAUCCGACACAUGUCUCUACGUACAACACUCAAGUAUUGUUAAAAUGUUAUAACUCUAAACAAAUCUACGAAGAUUCGUCACGAUAUCGUCUUGCCACGAGGUAAAGGAAUGACAACAACGAUUUAUAAACAAAACACCGUAUAAUCCUGACUUGCCGUAGUACGAUUGUUGGAGUGGGAUCCUCAGGUGAAGAAGUGCCAGUACCGUAGACGGAGGUGGUUAAUAGAUCUCAAUUCAAGGUCUCUGUUAACCCCUCCAGUUGAAACUCGACGUCGUGAGAUACACAAGUGCGUUAGCCCUGCGGGUUUUAUAGUACGGUUAUACACUAAAUACGGAAAAGACAAUCCUAAUAGAGGGAAGAGGUGCCUAUUUAACGAACUACACAAGUUACCAGGCCAAAAGGGAUUUACAAUUUGUGAUUUUUCCGGACUCACCUAAUAGAGGGAAGAGGUGCCUAUUUAACGAACUACACAAGUUACCAGGCCAACUUAACCUUUGUUCGUACGAUGUUUAGUUUAUCAAUAAACUAUUCCGUAAACUACUCGAGGACAGUAAGAUUAGAUGAAGGGUGUAAAAUGUCGACUACAAUAAAUCAUGAGACAUCACUCGGAUUCUUUAUCAUGAUACCCCUCUUCGUCCGUUGUGCAUUAUACACACAGUAAACUCUUUUUACUUUGAAGGUUGAAAGGUUGACAAGUAACGUAUAAUGUACAUUUUCUGUGAUAGAAUCUGUUUAUGUACUAAGUGGUCCAAGUUACUUUCAAUCGAAUUUAUGGUACAUAAAAAGACGUGUACCUAAUAACGGAUAACAUCUAGUAGGAGACAUGUAAACAAUCAGAUUAUCAGUUCGUCCUGUUUUUUCAAGUGAGGUCAUUACGGAAACGAGAUGUUCUAGACUGUUAACAAUUUUGUUGUUUAGUGUCUGAUUACUAAAGUAAACAAACGCCCAUAUCCGUGACAUAAAAAGUGAGAAUACGUUUUUUUUGAAAUUCAGCACUAAAAAAAAAAGUACUUUCUAGAGCUCCCACUCUGUUAAAAGUAGUAUAAGUCUCCUUAUAAUCGAACUCAUGGUAUAUCUCCCACUCUGUUCACCAUGAACUGUAUUGUACAGAGAACACAAUUAAAAGAAUAAGUCCACCGUGUGAUGCACAUCGUUUGAGUAAGUAUCAUUUCUUUACUUACCAUAGUAAAGAGUACGGUGCCUUCAUACCAGACUUCAACGGAAUGAGACUCCUGGAAGAAAGUUGUAGAUACUGGACUUAUCGUUUUAAUACCGUUGUCGUCAGUGCAGUCCGUAUUAUGUUGCGUGUCCCGGUAGUUGAUCGAGGUAUUUAGAAUUAGAGUAAAAGACACUAACAACCAAACGAUAUAUUCAGUAACUACUACUUUCUUACAUCUUUGGUGCACAACCCAUGUUAUAAAUUGGUAUGUUAAAGAAGAUCUUUGGUAGUAUUAGGUACGGAGGGGGAUGAAAAGAAUGUCGUUUGAUUAUCUAGAGUUGAUUGGUGUUCGAAUCGGACACCAUAUGACGUAUUUAUAGAUCGAAUACCUUUCGGACCAUUCACCUCGUGACCUCGCGGAAGAUUGAUCGUCUCGGGUUAAGUGACAAAACAUGUAUCUACUCUUUAAACGAACGACGGUGAGUAGAUUAUAGUUACAAAGACAAGGUACACCUUGAUUGUCAAGUGUAGAGGUCGAGAUGACGAAACAACAACAUGUGUUUUCGAAAACAUUGGUGCUACGACUAUAUGGAUACUAUCAAGUAAGAAGCGUUUGUUCUUUAAGAUGUACGACGCCUCUUGGUGUAGAUGUUGUCUAGUCCAAUGAACCACACUUGUUUAACCUACCCGGUGUUGAAUCAAACAGAGUGCACUCAAAUGUGAUAAUGUUUUUUAAUGAUGUCUACAUCUUGUUCGGUCACCCUUAAACACAGAACUGAUAGACAGUAUAAAAUAUUGAUAGUAUGAAACAUCACGAAUAAUAUUA